This 379-nucleotide ribosomal RNA is filed under the name Caulobacter sp. oral taxon 002. RNAcentral describes it as "bacterial SSU rRNA". It matches the Rfam family "Bacterial small subunit ribosomal RNA", at positions 29 to 437 of the family's 1533-position model. The record is from RNAcentral. Lineage: Bacteria; Pseudomonadati; Pseudomonadota; Alphaproteobacteria; Caulobacterales; Caulobacteraceae.
AGCGAACGCUGGCGGCAGGCUUAACACAUGCAAGUCGAACGGUCCUUCGGGAUAGUGGCGGACGGGUGAGUAACACGUGGGAACGUACCCUUAGGUUCGGAACAACACAGGGAAACUUGUGCUAAUACCGGAUAAGCCCUUCGGGGGAAAGAUUUAUCGCCUUUGGAGCGGCCCGCGUCUGAUUAGCUUGUUGGUGAGGUAAUGGCUCACCAAGGCUACGAUCAGUAGCUGGUCUGAGAGGAUGGCCAGCCACACUGGGACUGAGACACGGCCCAGACUCCUACGGGAGGCAGCAGUGGGGAAUCUUGCGCAAUGGGCGAAAGCCUGACGCAGCCAUGCCGCGUGGAUGAUGAAGGUCUUAGGAUUGUAAAAUCCUUUC